RNAcentral lists this ribosomal RNA (482 nucleotides) under uncultured bacterium. RNAcentral describes it as "partial 16S ribosomal RNA". It matches the Rfam family "Bacterial small subunit ribosomal RNA", at positions 899 to 1397 of the family's 1533-position model. The record is from RNAcentral.
ACUCAAAGGAAUUGACGGGGACUCGCACAAGCAGUGGAUCAUGUGGCUUAAUUCGUCGACAAGCGAAGAACCUUACCCGGGCUAGAAACCAAGCUGCAUCUCUUCCGAAAGGUUGAGAGCCUUCGAGGGUGCUUGGCAGGUGAUGCAUGGUCGUCGUCAGUUCGUGGCUUGAGCUGUUCCCUUCAGUGGGGUAACGAACGCAACCCCCGUUGCCUGUUAUAUAUGUCAGGCGAGACUGCUCCCUCACGGGAGAGGAAGGUGGGGAUGACGCCAGAUCAGCAUGUCCCUUGAUGCCCGGGGCCGCACACGUGAUACAAUGGUUCACACAGAAGGAUGCAAGGCCGUAAGGCGGAGCAAAUCCCGAAAAUGAACCCCAGUACGGAUAGAGGUCUGCAAUGACCUCUUGAAGCCGGAAUUGCUAGUAAUCGUAGGUCAGCCAUACUACGGUGAAUACGUUCUCGAGUCUUGUACACACCGCCCGU